Molecule: ribosomal RNA, 516 nt
Filed under: uncultured bacterium
Lineage: Bacteria
Description: bacterial SSU rRNA
Rfam family: Bacterial small subunit ribosomal RNA
Source: RNAcentral
GACGAACGCUGGCGGCGUGGAUUAGGCAUGCAAGUCGGACGGUAGAGCUUUAUCGUAAGAUAGAGUUUGAGAGUGGCGAACGGGUGAGUAACACGUAGGAAUCUACCCUUAAGACGGGGACAACCCAGGGAAACUUGGGCUAAUACCGGAUGAGAGUGCGAGAGAUUGCAUUUAAAAGGAUGGCGAAAGUUGUCGCUUAGGGAUGAGCCUGCGGUCUAUUAGUUAGUUGGUGAGGUAAGAGCUCACCAAGGCGAUGAUAGAUAGGCGGCCUUAACGGGUGGUCGCCCACACUGGGAUUGAGAUACGGCCCAGACUCCUACGGGAGGCAGCAGUCGAGAAUAGUCUACAAUGGCCGGAAGGCUGAUAGUGCGACGCCGCGUGAACGAGGGAGCCCUUCGGGUGUAAACUGCUGUCGUGUAGGGAGAAGGGUACGUAAGGUGAACAAUCUUAGUACUUGACGGUACUACAGGAGGAAGACCCAGGCUAACCUCGUGCCAGCAGCCGCGGUAAGCUACG